Molecule: RNA transcript, 1000 nt
Organism: Hyposmocoma kahamanoa
Lineage: Eukaryota; Metazoa; Arthropoda; Insecta; Lepidoptera; Cosmopterigidae
Gene name: corneodesmosin-like
Exons: 5
Source: RefSeq, a predicted model, not a curated record
AACGUGUUAAAAUUGACAGAGUUAUAUAUAUAUUCUUUUCUGUUUGAAACAGAAAACCAGAUAUGAGUGCUUGUUACAAAGUCUAAUUAAAAUGUAGCAAACAAUCAAACGACUUGGCCAACAUUAGUUUUGACAUAGAUAAAAUUACGCAAGUAACUACAAUGUGCCUGUAGAAUCUGUCUACACACUCGCCGACCAAGAAUCCUUCCACAAUUGUCAAGAUGAGCACUCCAUCCAGAGGAGACGGAGAUGCGCUUGAUUGGGCGAAGACAGGUAUACCAGUGAUCGGAGGAGCUAUAGUCGUCUUGCUCCUGAUGUCAAAACUAAGGGGCGACCAGUCGGGCAAGUCGGGCGAUCAGUCGGGCAAGUCGGGCAAGUCGGGCAAGUCGGGCUCUGGUGCAAGCUCUCAAAGCACAAGCUCUCAAAGCGCUUCCUCAAAAUCCCCGCAAAAAGGAUACAGAAAGUCUUCUAGUGACGACGAGAAGAAGAAGAAGCCGUGCCCUUGAUGGAUCCAUAGUGUAUAAAUCGGUGCCCAUUUUGAGGGUACAGCGGCACUGUAGCCGCUUAUACGUCUACUUUAGAACUUAUUAAUGCAGCCUAUGCCGUUAUUAAGAACUUCUAACUGGCUAUUGUACUGCUUGUUAUUAGAGCUUGUAAUGCGAAAAAGUAAUCAAUUGGCUACUGCAUCGGCGUAUGGGGUGUCGUGUGGUGCCGUGCCCCAAUAUAAUUCCCGCUCGAUUGAAGUUCCCGCCAACGUCUCCCAAACAAGAGCUGCCAUACUAUCAUACGAAGUCUGCCAUAAUCUUAUGGAAGUCAUCAACAGAUAGAUAUAUGUAUAGUAAUUUCAGGCUACUUAUGUACGAUAGAGUAUAAAUGAUCUGAGCAUUUAAAGCUAACAAAAAUAUCUGUGCACUUGACGAAAAUAGUCUUAUAAAAUUAUAUUUGUUACAUUAUUAAAAUGCGUAUUUUAUUUUGCUGUAGUAUCAUAAUGUUUGAAAGU